RNAcentral lists this ribosomal RNA (750 nucleotides) under Micromonospora sp. YIM 48776. RNAcentral describes it as "bacterial SSU rRNA". It matches the Rfam family "Bacterial small subunit ribosomal RNA", at positions 57 to 827 of the family's 1533-position model. The record is from RNAcentral. RNAcentral also lists the same sequence under 1 other name. Lineage: Bacteria; Bacillati; Actinomycetota; Actinomycetes; Micromonosporales; Micromonosporaceae.
GCAGUCGAGCGGAAGGCCCUUCGGGGUACUCGAGCGGCGAACGGGUGAGUAACACGUGAGCAACCUGCCCUAGGCUUUGGGAUAACCCCGGGAAACCGGGGCUAAUACCGAAUAUGACCUGCGGUCGCAUGACUGUUGGUGGAAAGUUUUUCGGCCUGGGAUGGGCUCGCGGCCUAUCAGCUUGUUGGUGGGGUGAUGGCCUACCAAGGCGACGACGGGUAGCCGGCCUGAGAGGGCGACCGGCCACACUGGGACUGAGACACGGCCCAGACUCCUACGGGAGGCAGCAGUGGGGAAUAUUGCACAAUGGGCGGAAGCCUGAUGCAGCGACGCCGCGUGAGGGAUGACGGCCUUCGGGUUGUAAACCUCUUUCAGCAGGGACGAAGCGUAAGUGACGGUACCUGCAGAAGAAGCGCCGGCCAACUACGUGCCAGCAGCCGCGGUAAGACGUAGGGCGCGAGCGUUGUCCGGAUUUAUUGGGCGUAAAGAGCUCGUAGGCGGCUUGUCGCGUCGACUGUGAAAACCCGCAGCUCAACUGCGGGCCUGCAGUCGAUACGGGCAGGCUAGAGUUCGGUAGGGGAGACUGGAAUUCCUGGUGUAGCGGUGAAAUGCGCAGAUAUCAGGAGGAACACCGGUGGCGAAGGCGGGUCUCUGGGCCGAUACUGACGCUGAGGAGCGAAAGCGUGGGGAGCGAACAGGAUUAGAUACCCUGGUAGUCCACGCUGUAAACGUUGGGCGCUAGGUGUGGGG